AGUAACGCGUGGGUAACCGUGCCUCAUACAGGGGGAUAACAGUUAGAAAUGACUGCUAAUACCGCAUAAGCGCACAGUGCUGCAUGGCACAGUGUGAAAAACUCCGGUGGUAUGAGAUGGACCCGCGUCUGAUUAGCUAGUUGGUGGGGUAACGGCCUACCAAGGCGACGAUCAGUAGCCGCCUGAGAGGGUGACGGCCACAUUGGGACUGAGACACGGCCCAA
This 224-nucleotide ribosomal RNA is filed under the name uncultured bacterium. RNAcentral's name for it is "partial 16S ribosomal RNA". It matches the Rfam family "Bacterial small subunit ribosomal RNA", at positions 109 to 334 of the family's 1533-position model. The record is from RNAcentral.